UGGGGGAUAUUGCACAAUGGGCGAAAGCCUGAUGCAGCGACGCCGCGUGGGGGAUUAAGGCCUUCGGGUUGUAAACUUCUUUUGCUCUGAACAAGGCAUGCUAAUGGGUGUGUUGAGUGUAGGGGUUGAUUAGCGCCGGCUAACUACGUGCCAGCAGCCGCGGUAAUACGUAGGGCGCGAGCGUUGUCCGGAAUUAUUGGGCGUAAAGGGCUUGUAGGUGUCUGGUUGCGUCAGUCGUGAAAGCUCAUGGCUUAACUGUGGGUUUGCGGUGGGUACGGAAUUGCUUGAGUGCAGUAGGGGAGGCUGGAAUGCCUGGUGUAGCGGUGGAAUGCGCUGAUAUCAGGAGGAAUACCGGUGGCGAAGGCGGGUCUCUGGGCUGUUACUGACACUGAGGAGCGAAAGCAUGGGGAGCGAACAGG
This 419-nucleotide ribosomal RNA is filed under the name bacterium. RNAcentral's name for it is "partial 16S ribosomal RNA". It matches the Rfam family "Bacterial small subunit ribosomal RNA", at positions 355 to 776 of the family's 1533-position model. The record is from RNAcentral.